RNAcentral lists this ribosomal RNA (253 nucleotides) under uncultured bacterium. Its description in RNAcentral is "partial 16S ribosomal RNA". It matches the Rfam family "Bacterial small subunit ribosomal RNA", at positions 524 to 776 of the family's 1533-position model. The record is from RNAcentral.
UACGAAGGUGGCAAGCGUUGUUCGGAUUCACUGGGCGUACAGGGUGUGUAGGCGGUUUGGUAAGCCUUCUGUUAAAGCUUCGGGCCCAACCCGGAAAGCGCAGAGGGUACUGCCAGGCUAGAGGGUGGGAGAGGAGCGCGGAAUUCCCGGUGUAGCGGUGAAAUGCGUAGAGGUCGGGAGGAACACCGGUGGCGAAGGCGGCGUUCUGGACUGCAUCUGACACUGAGGAACGAAAGCCAGGGGAGCAAACGGG